GAUGAACGCUGGCGGCGUGCCUAAUACAUGCAAGUCGAGCGAACAGACAAGGAGCUUGCUCCUUUGACGUUAGCGGCGGACGGGUGAGUAACACGUGGGUAACCUACCUAUAAGACUGGGAUAACUUCGGGAAACCGGAGCUAAUACCGGAUAAUAUUUCGAACCGCAUGGUUCGAUAGUGAAAGAUGGUUUUGCUAUCACUUAUAGAUGGACCCGCGCCGUAUUAGCUAGUUGGUAAGGUAACGGCUUACCAAGGCGACGAUACGUAGCCGACCUGAGAGGGUGAUCGGCCACACUGGAACUGAGACACGGUCCAGACUCCUACGGGAGGCAGCAGUAGGGAAUAUUGCACAAUGGGCGCAAGCCUGAUGCAGCCAUGCCGCGUGUAUGAAGAAGGCCUUCGGGUUGUAAAGUACUUUCAGCGAGGAGGAAGGCAUUAAGGUUAAUAACCUUAGUGAUUGACGUUACUCGCAGAAGAAGCACCGGCUAACUCCGUGCCAGCAGCCGCGGUAA
RNAcentral lists this ribosomal RNA (513 nucleotides) under uncultured Staphylococcus sp. RNAcentral describes it as "bacterial SSU rRNA". It matches the Rfam family "Bacterial small subunit ribosomal RNA", at positions 28 to 523 of the family's 1533-position model. The record is from RNAcentral. Lineage: Bacteria; Bacillati; Bacillota; Bacilli; Caryophanales; Staphylococcaceae.